RNAcentral lists this ribosomal RNA (253 nucleotides) under uncultured bacterium. RNAcentral describes it as "partial 16S ribosomal RNA". It matches the Rfam family "Bacterial small subunit ribosomal RNA", at positions 524 to 776 of the family's 1533-position model. The record is from RNAcentral.
UACGUAGGGUGCAGGCGUUAUUCGGAAUUACUGGGCGUAAAGCGUGCGCAGGCGGUUUUCUAAGACAGGUGUGAAAUCCCCGGGCUUAACCUGGGAACUGCGCUUGUUACUGGCAGGCUUGAGUGUGGCAGAGGGGGGUGGAAUUCCACGUGUAGCAGUGAAAUGCGUAGAGAUGUGGAGGAACACCAGUGGCGAAGGCGACUCUUUGGCCUGUAACUGACGCUGAGGCGCGAAAGCGUGGGGAGCAAACAGG